This 336-nucleotide unclassified non-coding RNA is filed under the name soil metagenome. RNAcentral describes it as "partial contains 5.8S ribosomal RNA, internal transcribed spacer 2, and large subunit ribosomal RNA". The stretch from base 1 to 120 matches the Rfam family "5.8S ribosomal RNA", at positions 35 to 154 of the family's 154-position model. The record is from RNAcentral.
GAUGAAGAACGCAGCGAAAUGCGAUAAGUAAUGUGAAUUGCAGAAUUCAGUGAAUCAUCGAAUCUUUGAACGCACAUUGCGCCCGCCAGUAUUCUGGCGGGCAUGCCUGUUCGUGCGUCAUUUCAACCAUCAAGCCCCCGGCUUGUGUUGGGGACCUGCGGCUGCCGCAGGCCCUGAAAAGCAGUGGCGGGCUCGCUGUCACACCGAGCGUAGUAGCAUACAUCUCGCUCUGGGCGUGCUGCGGGUUCCGGCCGUUAAACCACCUUCAUAACCCAAGGUUGACCUCGGAUCAGGUAGGAAGACCCGCUGAACUUAAGCAUAUCAAUAAGCGGAGGA